RNAcentral lists this long non-coding RNA (686 nucleotides) under Gallus gallus (chicken). Its description in RNAcentral is "long non-coding RNA NONGGAT002215". Lineage: Eukaryota; Metazoa; Chordata; Aves; Galliformes; Phasianidae. The record is from RNAcentral.
GGAUGUCACAGGCUGCAGGGUGAGAAGCUCUGUGCCUUGUCAUCCGUUUCUUCCAUACCCGGUUUUGCCCUUUCUCUGCUGCUGCCACUGGAGUACAGAGAGACCCAGAGCAGUGAUGCCAUUCUGCUGCUGGCCCUGCCUGCUCUGACCUUUUCCAACCUCAGAGAAAGUUUUGGCCCUAACUCCUUUGCCAGGAGUCAUCCCUACAAAUCAAGAUGUUCCCCCUCCAGGUGCUUGGAGCCCCAUCCAGCUUGACCUUGAAAGUGAAGUACUGACCAAGUAGUGACCAAAUACUUCCUAAGCACUGGGAGGCUGGCUGUAAGGGAAGAGGGGGACGGGAAAGCACAAGAAGUAACCCAAAAUUCCCCUCCGAGCACCAUCCUGGCCAUACGCAAGGACUUGCACAGCUGUUCCCAAGUGUGGUAUCGGAGCAACGCACGUAAGGAGCGCUUCUGCAGGACCACACAAGUUUGCUGCUAUUCUUAAGCCGAGCCUCACAACUGGGAAACUCCUGCCAAGUUGCUUGAGACAGUGGCACCUGGGAAGUAUUAUAUGAGUCUGUAUUGCAUCAUGAGAACCCUAUUUGCACUUAAUUACACAACUCCCUCCCUCCUCCCAGUAGAACAAGCGGGACAGAUGCUACAUCUACAAAGUGAGAAUCAAACACAUUUUUUAAGUGGAAUCUG